This is a non-coding RNA of Plasmodium falciparum (malaria parasite P. falciparum), 127 nucleotides long. The record is from Rfam. Lineage: Eukaryota; Apicomplexa; Aconoidasida; Haemosporida; Plasmodiidae.
UUACUCAAAAAAAAAAAUAAAAGGUAAUAUUAUUAUAUAAUCCCAUCAGAACUCUGAAGUUAAGCACUGUAAGGCUUGGCUAGUACUGAGGUGGGAGACCGCUCGGGAACACCAGGUGAUGAGUCAU